Molecule: ribosomal RNA, 432 nt
Filed under: uncultured bacterium
Lineage: Bacteria
Description: partial 16S ribosomal RNA
Rfam family: Bacterial small subunit ribosomal RNA
Source: RNAcentral
AACGAACGCUGGCGGCAUGCCUAACACAUGCAAGUCGAACGAGACCUUCGGGUCUAGUGGCGCACGGGUGCGUAACGCGUGGGAACCUGCCCUUAGGUUCGGAAUAACUCCCCGAAAGGGGUGCUAAUACCGGAUAAUGUCUUCGGACCAAAGAUUUAUCGCCUUUGGAUGGGCCCGCGUUGGAUUAGCUAGUUGGUAGGGUAAAAGCCUACCAAGGCGACGAUCCAUAGCUGGUCUAAGAGGAUGAUCAGCCACACUGGGACUGAGACACGGCCCAGACCCCUACGGGGGGCAGAAGGGGGGAAUAUGGGACAAGGGGCGAAAGCCUGAUCCAGCAAUGCCGGGGGAGGGAUGAAGGCUUUAGGGUUGUAAAGCUUUUUUACCCGGGAUGAUAAUGACAGUACCGGGAGAAUAAGCCCCGGCUAACUCCGU